This 421-nucleotide ribosomal RNA is filed under the name uncultured bacterium. RNAcentral's name for it is "bacterial SSU rRNA". It matches the Rfam family "Bacterial small subunit ribosomal RNA", at positions 360 to 773 of the family's 1533-position model. The record is from RNAcentral.
AAUUUUGGACAAUGGGGGCAACCCUGAUCCAGCCAUUCCGCGUGAGUGAAGAAGGCCUUCGGGUUGUAAAGCUCUUUCGGACGGAACGAAACGGUUAGCGUGAACAACGCUGACUAAUGACGGUACCGUAAGAAGAAGCACCGGCUAACUACGUGCCAGCAGCCGCGGUAAUACGUAGGGUGCGAGCGUUAAUCGGAAUUACUGGGCGUAAAGCGUGCGCAGGCGGCGGCCCAAGUCAGGUGUGAAAUCCCCGGGCUUAACCUGGGAAUUGCGCUUGAAACUAGGUCGCUAGAGUGUGGCAGAGGGGGGUGGAAUUCCACGUGUAGCAGUGAAAUGCGUAGAGAUGUGGAGGAACACCGAUGGCGAAGGCAGCCCCCUGGGUCAACACUGACGCUCAGGCACGAAAGCGUGGGGAGCAAAC